Molecule: ribosomal RNA, 253 nt
Filed under: uncultured bacterium
Lineage: Bacteria
Description: partial 16S ribosomal RNA
Rfam family: Bacterial small subunit ribosomal RNA
Source: RNAcentral
GACAGAGGGGGCAAGCGUUGCUCGGAAUCACUGGGCGUAAAGGGCGCGUAGGCGGGAUGGCAAGUCGGUCGUGAAAUCCUUCGGCUCAACCGAAGAACGUCGGCCGAUACUGCCGUUCUUGAGGGAUGCAGAGGAGAUUGGAAUUCCCGGUGUAGCGGUGAAAUGUGUAGAGAUCGGGAGGAACACCGGUGGCGAAGGCGGGUCUCUGGGCAUCUCCGGACGCUGAGGCGCGAAAGCGUGGGGAGCAAACGGG